UAGCUAGUUGGUGAGGUAAAGGCUUACCAAGGCGACGAUCUGUAGCGGGUCUGAGAGGAUGAUCCGCCACACUGGAACUGAGACACGGUCCAGACUCCUACGGGAGGCAGCAGUGGGGAAUUUUGGACAAUGGGGGCAACCCUGAUCCAGCCAUGCCGCGUGAGUGAAGAAGGCCUUCGGGUUGUAAAGCUCUUUCGGCCGGGAAGAAAUCGCAUGGGUCAAUACCCUGUGAGGAUGACGGUACCGGAAUAAGAAGCACCGGCUAACUACGUGCCAGCAGCCGCGGUAAUACGUAGGGUGCGAGCGUUAAUCGGAAUUACUGGGCGUAAAGCGUGCGCAGGCGGUUUUGUAAGACAGGCGUGAAAUCCCCGGGCUUAACCUGGGAACUGCGUUUGUGACUGCAAGGCUAGAGUACGGCAGAGGGGGGUGGAAUUCCACGUGUAGCAGUGAAAUGCGUAGAGAUGUGGAGGAACACCAAUGGCGAAGGCAGCCCCCUGGGUCGAUACUGACGCUCAUGCACGAAAGCGUGGGUAGCAAACAGGAUUAGAUACCCUGGUAGUCCACGCCCUAAACUAUGUCAACUAGGUGUUGGGUGGGUAAAACCAUUUAGUACCGUAGCUAACGCGUGAAGUUGACCGCCUGGGGAGUACGGCCGCAAGGUUAAAACUCAAAGGAAUUGACGGGGACCCGCACAAGCGGUGGAUGAUGUGGAUUAAUUCGAUGCAACGCGAGAAACCUUACCUACCCUUGACAUGCCAGGAACUUGCCAGAGAUGGCUUGGUGCCCGAAAGGGAGCCUGGACACAGGUGCUGCAUGGCUGUCGUCAGCUCGUGUCGUGAGAUGUUGGGUUAAGUCCCGCAACGAGCGCAACCCUUGUCGUUAAUUGCCAUCAUUUGGUUGGGCACUUUAACGAGACUGCCGGUGACAAACCGGAGGAAGGUGGGGAUGACGUCAAGUCCUCAUGGCCCUUAUGGGUAGGGCUUCACACGUCAUACAAUGGUCGGUACAAAGGGUUGCCAAGCCGCGAGGCGGAGCCAAUCCCAGAAAGCCGAUCGUAGUCCGGAUUGCAGGCUGCAACUCGCCUGCAUGCAGUCGGAAUCGCUAGUAAUCGUGGAUCAGCAUGUCACGGUGAAUACGUUCCCGGGUCUUGUACACACCGCCCGUCACACCAUGGGAGCGGGUUCCGCCAGAAGUAGGUAGCCUAACCGCAAGGGGGGCGCUUACCACGGCGGGGUUCGUGACUGGGGUGAAGUCGUAACAAGGUAGCCGUAGGGGAACCUGCGGCUG
RNAcentral lists this ribosomal RNA (1287 nucleotides) under metagenome. RNAcentral's name for it is "bacterial SSU rRNA". It matches the Rfam family "Bacterial small subunit ribosomal RNA", at positions 242 to 1520 of the family's 1533-position model. The record is from RNAcentral.